GAUGAACGCUGGCGGCGUGCCUAAUACAUGCAAGUCGAGCGAACAGACGAGGAGCUUGCUCCUCUGACGUUAGCGGCGGACGGGUGAGUAACACGUGGAUAACCUACCUAUAAGACUGGGAUAACUUCGGGAAACCGGAGCUAAUACCGGAUAAUAUAUUGAACCGCAUGGUUCAAUAGUGAAAGACGGUUUUGCUGUCACUUAUAGAUGGAUCCGCGCCGCAUUAGCUAGUUGGUAAGGUAACGGCUUACCAAGGCAACGAUGCGUAGCCGACCUGAGCGGGUGGUCGGCCACACGGGAACUGAGACACGGUCCAGACUCCUACGGGAGGCAGCAGUAGGGAAUCUUCCGCGAUGGGCGAAAGCCUGACGGAGCAACGCCGCGUGAGUGAUGAAGGUCUUCGGAUCGUAAAACUCUGUUAUUAGGGAAGAACAAAUGUGUAAGUAACUAUGCACGUCUUGACGGUACCUAAUCAGAAAGCCACGGCUAACUACGUG
Molecule: ribosomal RNA, 497 nt
Filed under: uncultured bacterium
Lineage: Bacteria
Description: partial 16S ribosomal RNA
Rfam family: Bacterial small subunit ribosomal RNA
Source: RNAcentral